ACUCCUACGGGAGGCAGCAGUGGGGAAUAUUGCACAAUGGGCGCAAGCCUGAUGCAGCCAUGCCGCGUGUAUGAAGAAGGCCUUCGGGUUGUAAAGUACUUUCAGCAGUGAGGAAGGCAGGUACGUUAAUAGCGUACUUGUUUGACGUUAGCUGCAGAAGAAGCACCGGCUAACUCCGUGCCAGCAGCCGCGGUAAUACGGAGGGUGCGAGCGUUAAUCGGAAUUACUGGGCGUAAAGCGCAUGCAGGUGGUUUGUUAAGUCAGAUGUGAAAGCCCGGGGCUCAACCUCGGAAUUGCAUUUGAAACUGGCAGACUAGAGUACUGUAGAGGGGGGUAGAAUUUCAGGUGUAGCGGUGAAAUGCGUAGAGAUCUGAAGGAAUACCGGUGGCGAAGGCGGCCCCCUGGACAGAUACUGACACUCAGAUGCGAAAGCGUGGGGAGCAAACAGGAUUAGAUA
This 457-nucleotide ribosomal RNA is filed under the name uncultured bacterium. RNAcentral's name for it is "bacterial SSU rRNA". It matches the Rfam family "Bacterial small subunit ribosomal RNA", at positions 335 to 784 of the family's 1533-position model. The record is from RNAcentral.